UAUGAAGAACGUAGCGAAAUGCGAUAAGUAAUGUGAAUUGCAGAAUUCAGUGAAUCAUCGAAUCUUUGAACGCAUCUUGCGCUCCUUGGUAUUCCGAGGAGCAUGCCUGUUUGAGUGUCAUUUAACUUCUCAACCACAUUGGAUAUUUUUUUUCCGAUGCCGGCUUGGAUGUGGGGGUUGUUUGCAGGCUUUUUGUAACAAAAAAGGUCGGCUCCCCUGAAAUGUAUUAGUGGUAUCUGAGGCUAUUACUAUUAGGUGUGAUAAUUAUCUAUGCCUUUUGGGUAUGCCGCAUGAACAGAUUAUGCUGCUUCUAACGAAAACUAUUUUGAUGAAUUUGACCUCAAAUCAGGUAGGACUACCCGCUGAACUUAAGCAUAUCAAUAAGCGGAGGA
RNAcentral lists this unclassified non-coding RNA (392 nucleotides) under soil metagenome. Its description in RNAcentral is "partial contains 5.8S ribosomal RNA, internal transcribed spacer 2, and large subunit ribosomal RNA". The stretch from base 2 to 120 matches the Rfam family "5.8S ribosomal RNA", at positions 36 to 154 of the family's 154-position model. The record is from RNAcentral.